GGUCUGUUUCUCAGGUAAACUACUUAUUUUUAAAAAAUCUUUUCCCCUCCAGUACUUGGGAUUGAACCAGGGUCUCCACACUGAGCAAAUUCUCAGCCUUUUUGAGACAGAGCAUGCUAGUCACUUUCCAGACACCCGCAACCUAAAGGAGGAGUUCAUUUUGGUUCGGUUUCAGAAAUUUCAGUCGACGGUCAGGAGGUUCCAACACAGGAGCAGCACGGCAGAAAGACCCGCUGCAGACACAGCCGGUCACAUCAUGGCGGCCAACGAGCAGCCAGCGAGAAGGGAGGAGCCUGGGAAGUUGGAAUCUUCUUCCGGGUCAUCCUCAGCGACCCACUCUGAACCACUUUCCUCCCUGAGUUUAUUAGUGUACGGAUCCACCCAAGGCCACAGCGCCAGGAUCAGUCACCUUCCCGCAGUUUCCCUGGAGUUCAGUGGUCACUCAGCACUGGGACUCCCACUCCUCGAAGUGGCUUUGUACCUCUUUCUUCUGCAAAAAAACUUACUUUUCCGUUGCACCAUUUUCGACUCCUCUUCCUCUUUCUGCAGAGGAGAAAGAGAGCAGCCUGGGAAAGACAGGGGAGGAGGCUGAAGACCACCCCUCAUGCCCUUACAGUUGGCCCCAAACUCAAGAUUCUCCUGCCUCAGCCUCUCAAGUGAUGGGACUACAAGUGUGUGCCACUGUGAUGCAGAGAGAAGGCCACUCGAGGACACCAGGAAAAGGCAGCCGCUUGCAAGCCAACUUGGUGCUGAUGUUGGACUCCGGCCUCCUGAGCCUCCUGAACCAGGGCUGCCUACAGCAUCUGGCCAUUGUAGCUGACACACAGACUGCUCCGAGGCCUUGGGCACAUGUGUUCAAAUGCAUAUCACUGAAGCCACACGUUCCGCCCUGGCAGACAAGAAUGGGGUAAGGCGUGGACAGAAGACAUUAAGAAAAAUGGAAGCUUUUUAAAAAGUUUUAUUUCAAGAACUUUGUUUUUACUGGUAUUCCAAAAAAAGGUGGGUCAAAGUACAAAAAAAAAAGUCAGUUGAAUAAUAGUGUAGGUUUAGAAAUCACAGCAGCAAAAGCAAUGUACAGACA
Heterocephalus glaber (naked mole-rat) is the source of this 1081-nucleotide non-coding RNA. The record is from RefSeq and is a predicted model, not a curated record. Lineage: Eukaryota; Metazoa; Chordata; Mammalia; Rodentia; Bathyergidae.